AAGAGGGUAAGUGGAAAUUCCAAGGUGUAGCGGUGAAAAUGCGUAGGAUUUUUGGAGGAACACCCAGUGGCGAAAAGGCGGACUUUACUGGUCUGUAAUUUGACGCUGAGGCUCGAAAGCGUGGGUAGCAAACAGGAUUAGAUACCCUGGUAGUCCACGCCGUAAACGAUGAGUGCUAAGUGUUAGGGGGUUUCCGCCCCUUAGUGCUGGAGUUAACGCAUUAAGCACUCCGCCUGGGGAGUACGGCCGCAAGGCUGAAACUCAAGGGAAUUGACGGGGACCCGCACAAGCGGUGGAGCAUGUGGUUUAAUUCGAAGCAACGCGAAGAACCUUACCAGCUCUUGACAUCAUCUGACCACCCUAGAGAUAGGGCUUUCCCUUCGGGGACAGAUAGACAGGUGGUGCAUGGUUGUCGUCAGCUCGUGUCGUGAGAUGUUGGGUUAAGUCCCAUAACGAGCGCAACCCUUAUUGUUAGUUGCCAGCAUUCAGUUGGGCACUCUAGCGAGACUGCCGGUGAUAAACCGGAGGAAGGUGGGGAUGACGUCAAAUCAUCAUGCCCCUUAUGAGCUGGGCUACACACGUGCUACAAUGGACGGUACAACGAGUUGCGACCCCGCAAGGGUGAGCGAAUCUUAAUAAGCCGUUCUCAGUUCGGAUUGUUCUCUGCAACUCGAGAGCAUGAAGCCGGAAUCGCUAGUAAUCGCGGAUCAGAAUGCCGCGGUGAAUACGUUCCCGGGUCUUGUACACACCGCCCGUCA
This 758-nucleotide ribosomal RNA is filed under the name uncultured bacterium. Its description in RNAcentral is "bacterial SSU rRNA". It matches the Rfam family "Bacterial small subunit ribosomal RNA", at positions 652 to 1399 of the family's 1533-position model. The record is from RNAcentral.